GACGAACGCUGGCGGCGUGCUUAACACAUGCAAGUCGAACGGAAAGACCCUGCUUUUGUGGGGUGCUCGAGUGGCGAACGGGUGAGUAACACGUGAGUAACCUGCCCUUGACUUUGGGAUAACUUCAGGAAACUGGGGCUAAUACCGGAUAGGAGCUCCUGCUGCAUGGUGGGGGUUGGAAAGUUUCGGCGGUUGGGGAUGGACUCGCGGCUUAUCAGCUUGUUGGUGGGGUAGUGGCUUACCAAGGCUUUGACGGGUAGCCGGCCUGAGAGGGUGACCGGCCACAUUGGGACUGAGAUACGGCCCAGACUCCUACGGGAGGCAGCAGUGGGGAAUAUUGCACAAUGGGCGGAAGCCUGAUGCAGCAACGCCGCGUGCGGGAGGACGGCCUUCGGGUUGUAAACCGCUUUCGCCUGUGACGAAGCGUGAGUGACGGGAAUGGGUAAAGAAGCACCGGCUAACUACGU
RNAcentral lists this ribosomal RNA (467 nucleotides) under uncultured bacterium. Its description in RNAcentral is "partial 16S ribosomal RNA". It matches the Rfam family "Bacterial small subunit ribosomal RNA", at positions 28 to 506 of the family's 1533-position model. The record is from RNAcentral.